RNAcentral lists this ribosomal RNA (423 nucleotides) under uncultured bacterium. RNAcentral describes it as "bacterial SSU rRNA". It matches the Rfam family "Bacterial small subunit ribosomal RNA", at positions 207 to 622 of the family's 1533-position model. The record is from RNAcentral.
AAGACCUUGCGCUUUUGGAGCGGCCGAUGCCUGAUUAGCUUGUUGGUAAGGUAAAAGCUUACCAAGGCUUCGAUCAGUAGCUGGUCUGAGAGGACGGCCAGCCACACUGGGACUGAGACACAGCCCAGACUCCUACGGGAGGCAGCAGUGGGGAAUUUUGGACAAUGGGGGCAACCCUGAUCCAGCCAUGCCGCGUGAGUGAAGAAGGCCUUCGGGUUGUAAAGCUCUUUCAGCCGGAACGAAACGGUUACGGUUAAUACCCGUGAUUACUGACGGUACCGGAAGAAGAAGCACCGGCUAACUACGUGCCAGCAGCCGCGGUAAUACGUAGGGUGCGAGCGUUAAUCGGAAUUACUGGGCGUAAAGCGUGCGCAGGUGGUUUUGUAAGUCAGAUGUGAAAUCCCCGGGCUCAACCUGGGAACU